This 414-nucleotide ribosomal RNA is filed under the name Triticum aestivum (bread wheat). RNAcentral describes it as "partial small subunit ribosomal RNA". Lineage: Eukaryota; Viridiplantae; Streptophyta; Magnoliopsida; Poales; Poaceae. The record is from RNAcentral.
AUGGGUGGCGGGGGAGGCGCCUGGUUCCUUGGGUGGGGGAGGGAAAAUAAUCCUAUAAGACCCGGGUCGUACGUGGUCAAGGUGAGACCCUCCUCCCCGAGCGACACCUGGCAAACCGAAUCUCAAAGCACCAGUUUCUUUCAUUCCCCAUUACCAAAUCUUGUUCAGCUACCCGACGCUCCCAAACUCCAGCGCAGUGUGAUCCGCCCCGGCUGCUCGCUGUCGACGCCGCCGCUGGUGCGCUCCUCAGCCGCCAGUGUGCGGCUGCUCGCCGUCGCUGCCGUCGCCGGUGUGCUCCUUGGCUGCUCGCCGUCGCUUUCGCAUCCUUGUUUGUUGGCGCCCCAGCUCCCUUGCGACGUUUGUUGGCUGCCCAGCUCUUGGCAUGGCUGCAGCUGCUUGUCCCCGUCGGCGUGA